GAUGAACGCUGGCGGCGUGCCUAACACAUGCAAGUCGAGCGAAGCGCUUAAAUUAGAUUUCUUCGGAAUGACGAUUUUUGUGACUGAGCGGCGGACGGGUGAGUAACGCGUUGGUAACCUGCCUCAUACAGGGGGAUAACAGUUAGAAAUGACUGCUAAUACCGCAUAAGACCCCAGCUUCGCAUGAAGCGUUGGUAAAAACUCCGGUGGUAUGGGAUGUACCCGCGUCUGAUUAGCUAGUUGGUAAGGUAACGGCUUACCAAGGCGACGAUCAGUAGCCGAGCUGAGAGGGUGACCGGCCACAUUGGGACUGAGACACGGCCCAGACUCCUACGGGAGGCAGCAGUGGGGAAUAUUGCACAAUGGGGGAAACCAUGAUGCAGCGACGCCGCGUGAAGGAUGAAGUAUUUCGGUAUGUAAACUUCUAUCAGCAGGGAAGAAAGUGACGGUACCUGACUAAGAAGCCCCGGCUAACUACGUG
Molecule: ribosomal RNA, 481 nt
Filed under: uncultured bacterium
Lineage: Bacteria
Description: partial 16S ribosomal RNA
Rfam family: Bacterial small subunit ribosomal RNA
Source: RNAcentral